This 654-nucleotide ribosomal RNA is filed under the name uncultured Syntrophaceae bacterium. Its description in RNAcentral is "bacterial SSU rRNA". It matches the Rfam family "Bacterial small subunit ribosomal RNA", at positions 28 to 657 of the family's 1533-position model. The record is from RNAcentral. Lineage: Bacteria; Pseudomonadati; Thermodesulfobacteriota; Syntrophia; Syntrophales; Syntrophaceae.
AACAAACGCUGGCGGCGUGCCUAACACAUGCAAGUCGUACGAGAAAAUUCGCUUCGGCGAGUAAGUAAAGUGGCGCACGGGUGAGUAACGCGUGGAUAACCUGCCCUUUAGCUGGGAAUAACUCAUCGAAAGGUGGGCUAAUACCCGAUAAUACUGCUUUUACUGCGGUGAAGCAGUCAAAGGUAGCCUCUGUUUACAAGCUAUCACUAAAGGAUGAGUCCGCGUACCAUUAGCUAGUUGGUAGGGUAAUGGCCUACCAAGGCGGCGAUGGUUAGCUGGUCUGAGAGGAUGAUCAGCCACACUGGAACUGAGACACGGUCCAGACUCCUACGGGAGGCAGCAGUGAGGAAUCUUGCGCAAUGGGGGAAACCCUGACGCAGCAACGCCGCGUGAGUGAGGAAGGUUUUCGGAUCGUAAAGCUCUGUCAGGUGGGAAGAAAUGUAUAAGGGUCAACAGCCUUUAUACUUGACGGUACCACCAGAGGAAGCACCGGCUAACUCCGUGCCAGCAGCCGCGGUAAUACGGGGGGUGCAAGCGUUGUUCGGAAUUAUUGGGCGUAAAGAGCGUGUAGGCGGCUUGAUAAGUCAGAUGUGAAAGCCCUGGGCUUAACCCAGGAAGUGCAUUUGAAACUGUCUUGCUUGAGUAUGGGAGAGG